AGUGAACGCUGGCGGUAGGCCUAACACAUGCAAGUCGAACGGCAGCACAGUAAGAGCUUGCUCUUACGGGUGGCGAGUGGCGGACGGGUGAGGAAUACAUCGGAAUCUACUUUUUCGUGGGGGAUAACGUAGGGAAACUUACGCUAAUACCGCAUACGACCUACGGGUGAAAGCAGGGGAUCUUCGGACCUUGCGCGAUUGAAUGAGCCGAUGUCGGAUUAGCUAGUUGGCGGGGUAAAGGCCCACCAAGGCGACGAUGCGUAGCUGACCUGAGAGGAUGGUGGGACACACGUGGAAUAAGACGAGGUCCAGACUCCUAAGGGAGGCAGCAGUAGGGAAUGUUCCGCAAUGGCCGAAAGCCUGACGGAGCAACGGCGCGUGAGUGAUGAAGGGCUUCGUAUCGUAAAACUCUGUUAUUAGGGAAGAACAAAUGUGUAAGUAACUAUGCACGUCUGGACGGUACCUAAGCAGAAAGCCACGGAUAACUACGUG
This 492-nucleotide ribosomal RNA is filed under the name uncultured bacterium. Its description in RNAcentral is "partial 16S ribosomal RNA". It matches the Rfam family "Bacterial small subunit ribosomal RNA", at positions 29 to 507 of the family's 1533-position model. The record is from RNAcentral.